Long non-coding RNA from Setaria italica (foxtail millet), 523 nucleotides. RefSeq lists it as uncharacterized. The transcript is spliced from 4 exons. Lineage: Eukaryota; Viridiplantae; Streptophyta; Magnoliopsida; Poales; Poaceae. The record is from RefSeq and is a predicted model, not a curated record.
UCUAUAAACGCCGUUCGCUCGCCCACCUCGCCCGUCUCCAGCCGCAGUCUCGCUUGCCUUUCCCCACCUCCCCCGUCGCCGCGGCACCCGCCAGCUAGGGUUUCGUGCCCCGCUCGCCGAUCCGCCCCGUCCGCCAUGUCGAAACAAGGAGGGAAGGCCAAGCCGUUGAAGGCGCCCAAGGUCGACAAGAAGGAGUACGACGAGUCUGAUCUUGCGUAUCUGCAGAAGAAGAAAGAUGAGGAAAAGGCGCUGAAAGAACUGAAGGCCAAGGCACAGAAGGGUGCGAUUGGCGGCUCUGGCCUGAAGAAAAGUGGGAAGAAAUGAGUCUGUUACUUGGGAAAUGAUAAAUCUUCUGCCUAUAUGUGCUGUGGUUCACCAAAUGUGAUUGUAACAAAACUAUUUUAAGUGGGUUCUGUGUUAGUAAUGUUGCAGUCAGUUGCUUGAUCCGAAGAUGAUGUUGGCUAUGAUGCAGAUGGUUCUAUGAUAAUAACAUGGCAUUCUAAGAUGUUGUCUUCUUAAUUUA